This 116-nucleotide ribosomal RNA is filed under the name Pteropus alecto (black flying fox). The record is from RNAcentral. Lineage: Eukaryota; Metazoa; Chordata; Mammalia; Chiroptera; Pteropodidae.
GUCUAUGGCCAUGUCACCCUGAACAAGCCCAAUGUCUGAUCUCGGAAGCUAAGCAGGGUUGAGCCUGGUUAGUACUUGGAUGGGAGACCACGUAGGAAGACCAGGUGCUGUAGGCU